This 253-nucleotide ribosomal RNA is filed under the name uncultured bacterium. RNAcentral describes it as "partial 16S ribosomal RNA". It matches the Rfam family "Bacterial small subunit ribosomal RNA", at positions 524 to 776 of the family's 1533-position model. The record is from RNAcentral.
UACAGAGACCUCAAGCGUUAUCCGGAUUUAUUGGGCGUAAAGGGUGCGUAGGCGGAUAUGAUAGUCAGAUGUCAAAUCACGAAGCUCAACUUCGUGGCUGCAUUUGAAACGUCAUAUCUGGAGACAGGCAGAGGUCAGUGGAACUCAUGGUGUAGCAGUGAAAUGCGUUGAUAUCAUGGGGAACACCAAAGGCGAAGGCAUCUGACUGGGCCUGUUCUGACGCUGAGGCACGAAAGCGUGGGUAGCGAAGGGG